This is an unclassified non-coding RNA of Cercocebus atys (sooty mangabey), 95 nucleotides long. NCBI's taxonomy places the organism in Eukaryota, Metazoa, Chordata, Mammalia, Primates, Cercopithecidae. The record is from Ensembl.
GUCACUCGGUGUUCUCACCGAAAGCACGUAAUCGCCGGUGUAACUCAUGUUCGCUGGGGGCCUCCCGGCGCGCGGAGAGGCUGGGGUGCGCCCCC